Molecule: ribosomal RNA, 497 nt
Filed under: uncultured bacterium
Lineage: Bacteria
Description: partial 16S ribosomal RNA
Rfam family: Bacterial small subunit ribosomal RNA
Source: RNAcentral
GAUGAACGCCGGCAGCGUGCCUAAUACAUGCAAGUCGAGCGAACGGACGAGAAGCUUGCUUUUCUGAUGUUAGCGGCGGACGGGUGAGUAACACGUGGAUAACCUACCUAUAAGACUGGGAUAACUUCGGGAAACCGGAGCUAAUACCGGAUAAUAUUUUGAACCGCAUGGUUCAAAAGUGAAAGACGGUCUUGCUGUCACUUAUAGAUGGAUCCGCGCUGCAUUAGCUAGUUGGUAAGGUAACGGCUUACCAAGGCAACGAUGCAUAGCCGACCUGAGAGGGUGAUCGGCCACACUGGAACUGAGACACGGUCCAGACUCCUACGGGAGGCAGCAGUAGGGAAUCUUCCGCAAUGGGCGAAAGCCUGACGGAGCAACGCCGCGUGAGUGAUGAAGGUCUUCGGAUCGUAAAACUCUGUUAUUAGGGAAGAACGUAUGUGUAAGUAACUGUGCACAUCUUGACGGUACCUAAUCAGAAAGCCACGGCUAACUACGUG